CAGAAUCCAAAAUAUUAAAAGAAAAAUCCAUGGCGCAAGUCUCGAUAUAGAAAUCAAAUUCUUAGAAAAACUUGGAACAUAAAAAGUCUUUUCUAAACGUAAAAUGAAACCGCUGCUUAAAACCAAAUUGCACGUCCCAAUGGACUCCACAUGUGAGCUCAUCUUGCCUCCUGAAUAGAUGUGCUGCUCACUUCCCACUAGCUUUCUUAGGUUUUCCAUACCCUACAAGGUAUUA
Molecule: long non-coding RNA, 235 nt
Filed under: Glycine max (soybean)
Lineage: Eukaryota; Viridiplantae; Streptophyta; Magnoliopsida; Fabales; Fabaceae
Description: long non-coding RNA (GMAX_LNC001234)
Source: RNAcentral